GUGGCAGAGCAGUUCCUUCUCGACUGAGUAUCCAGGUGUUGGCUGGACGUACCUGUACUUCUUUUUCGAAUGUUUCCUCUACUUGGCCUUGGUUAUAUUAAUCGAGAUUUAUAAAAGUAACAACGUCAGAGCUGUUGAUUCUGUUUCAGUGGGAAUUCCUUAUGGGCAAUGUUUUGGCUUGAUAGGAGUCAAUGGUAAGUUAAUAGCUAGGUUAAUUGCUAAUGUUGGUUGAAUAUUACCAGUAUAUAUUACUAGUAUAACUAGCUCAAAAAUCUCGAUUAGCCAUAAGACCUGGCCACUUUCAAACCACACAGUUCCCCAUCAUACUACAUUUGAUGUCUGUGCUUGAAGAAAUGAACUUUGUCAUUGCAAUUAUGUUGUUGAUAAGAAGGGAUUUUUCUACCGAUCGCCUAUUUCUAAAGAAAAUACUCAGAAAUUUGCUAUUGUAACAAACAGUUUUGCACAUGAAUUAAUUUGAUGACCACAUUGGUUUCUGGGAAGCCAAACACCAAAGGCAAAAAUAUUAACAAUGAUCAAAUCAACGGCUAUAAACGUUAAACGUUUCAUGAGAUAGCUUUGAAAGACAAAAUUGACACUCUUUCAUGAUUUUCUUCUUCAUUUAAUCAUAUCUGCAGCAGAGUGAAUUGCUAUCUUUUUAGCAAACUGUAUGCUGCUUAGUUGUGAUGAAAAUGGACUUAAUAAGAAGGUUUGGAAACCUUGAAAGGAGCUUUGAUACUUAGAUGCAGCAUCAAGACUUUAAUUUAAUGGCAUUAGAGACAUGUUUCUGAAUUUCAGAAAGGCUUUUUCACAGCUUCCCGUAUCAGACAUCUAGAACUGCGUAUUAUAUGUGUUGGUUUCAUUGCGUCGACUGCAAAUUUAAAAAAUGCUCAGCUUGCAAUUGCUAAAUUGCAUUGCAGAACUGCAUCAGAAAUAUCUAAAAGAUGUUCUGGAUAGCUGAUUUUUGAGAAGGCAGACUUCUGAGGAAAGACCUAAUUCAAAGAACUUUGUAUUGGCUACAUAGCACCCUGUUUUUAAAAAAACUGUGUUGAAGAGAUUACGUCACAUUCUGGGGGUAGUCACGUGAUAUUGUAUUCGUCAUGUAUUAGCACGCUAUGUUGACAGAAUCAGAGUGUAGUUGUGACUCAGCGGUAGCCAACAUGUAAUCCAGUAGAAAAUAAUUAUGCUUAAAUAUAUAUGCUAAAGCUGCAAAACAGACGUUUUCCUUUUGCACUUCUGACCCACAAUGCAAACUACUCAACAUGGCGCCCAACGUGGGGCAAGGAGCGUAAAAGGGUGUACCACCAUGGCUACACAGUCGGUAACAUCAGAUUCGGUUGAAAAUACCGAAGAAAAUACCACGGGAGAGCUGCAAAUCGAUUGGCAGCUCACAAGGAUUCGAGCCUAUCGGAGAGGAAAUCGUUCGGUAGUAACUAAACUACAAGGAGAAGUUACACAAAUCAUUCGAACUCGGUCAAAUUCAUAUACAGAGCCUGAUGUUCUCUCACGACUUCAGUCAAUUUCGGACUUGCUUAAGGCAAAGCAAGACUAUCUGAGACGAGUUAGCGACGAAAUUUUGGGACUUUGCAGCAUCGAGGAAAUAGAUAAGGAAAUCGAAGAUUGCUCAGAAUGGGAGACACGUAUUUUGGAAACAUUGGAAAAAAUUGUGCAUUUUAAGCAGGGCAGAUACACUUCCAUUUCAACACAUGUUGGAAAUGAUGAAGAAGCUGAAGCUGUUCCUGCAUUUUCGACGCCAGUAAGGGCUGGCAUUUCUGCAGCAGAAAUAAUUACAAACCAGAGCUUUAACGGAAGUUUUCAGUCGCAUUCAUCAAUGGGAAACCUAGGGUUGAAACUGCCGAAAACGAGCUUCCCUACAUUCUGGCAGAGCUUUGAAUGCACAGUCCAUCGAAAUGCUUAAGUGCCUGCCUUCCAGAAAUUUAGUUAUUUGCUGUUGUUAUUGGAUGGAAACGCAAGGCGGGUGCUAGAGGGGUUAGAAUUGACGGAAGGAAACUACGAACACGCCAUUGAAAUUUUAAAGAUACGCUUCGGGAAUAAGCAGCAAAUAAUAAACGAGCAUAUGGCGGCGCUGCUUCGGUUACAGGGACACUCAAAUGAAAAAACACCACAAUUGCGUUACAUUUUUGACAAAAUAACAGUUCACGUGCGCGGACUUGAAUCGCUAGGGAUGCCCGCUGAACGCUUUGUUACUUCUAAUUCCAAUAAUCAUGGACAGGAUGCCAAAAGAAAUUACUACCCAAAUCGCACGGAAAAUUACUCAAGAAAUCUGGCUGAUUGACGAAAUUUUGGAGAUUAUUGGUAACGAAAUCGCUGCAAGAGAAAUUAGCGAAAAGGCAGCGAUUUCAAACAGAAGGCCUCAAGAAUAUACAACUGUUUCCCGAUCCAAGGCAGUAGGAACAACACAAUCAUUCAUCACGAAGACUGAAAAUCGAAGUUUGAAGAAUUCUCCACGGGUAUGCACAUUUUGCAAAGGGGAACAUUUGUCACUAAACUGUUCAACAAUAACGGACGUAAGAGAGAGAAAGGCGAUCAUUUUAAGGGAGGGAGUUUGUUUUUGCUGUUUGUAUAAAGGCCAUCGGGCAACAGAUUGCAGUAAAAGAUGUCAAAAAUGCGGGGGACAACAUCACCAAACUAUCUGUUUCAGAAUUUUCAACGCAAACAAGCGAACUGAAUCUGAGCAAGAUAACACCACUUCAGUUUCCGCAAUCACAAAAUCUUUGACCCCCUUGGUUGUCUCAGUGUGUAUUCCAUUAAUUUGAAGAUUCUUUUCCAGCAGUUAUGCGAAGACAAAUUACCCUGGGAUGAGGAACUCCAUGGGGAGGCUAGACCUCGUUUUAACCAACUCUUGCGUGAUAUGAACGUUAUUCAGGGGGUACAAAUUCCCCGUAGUCUUUUUGUAAGGGGUCAAUUCCCCGUAGUCUUUUUAUGCACAUCCCCCAUGAACUCCCUUUUUUGUGAAGAGAGAAACGGUCCAGCGCAGUUUAAUAAAUAGAGUUGAGCAUACUAACAUUUCACAGUUUAUUACUUCGCUUAUUACAAAUUAUACAUAAUAAAAAGUGGCACUUGUUUUUUUCAAUCAUAACUUUCAAAAUUAUGACAGCCUUGUUAAUUAGAGGUAGUAAAGAAUGGAAAGGCUAUUUAUCAUUCUUGGCGUUCCGUGUCUAUGGCUUUAGAUUUCAAAUAUUACGUCAUCAGCUAAACCAAAAAUUUACCCCACGAGCCGCCACUGAUUUUCUAGCAUCUUUUUGAAAAAUUACGUAAGGCGCUUGUGGAGGCCUGGAUCCGCCCCUGUGGUCAGUUGUGUCUCCACCUUCUCCGCCUAUCUUCUCCUCUCCUCUCUUCUAUUUCUGCAUUUGACUGUGUUUUCUCUGGUACCAAGGUGAGGCUUUCAAUUACAAUAUUAAUUGCUUUGACUGUAAUCAAGAAUCAUUGUGCAUUUGAUUGGAGGGUCCGGAAUCUAGGGGAAAAUAGUAAAUAUUUAUGCGGAGGAGACUUUUUUUCAAAUAUUUAUUUUUAUUUAUCUUCCAAGCUCAAAUGUAGAUAAAAAUUUGCUUGGAUUGCUCGUUAGGACCUCUUCUGGCUAAUACUGUAUAACUUCUUAUGUUUAAUUCAAUUCCGUGACCAUUAAUAGUUCAAUUCCGAUGCAUCGGUUAGCUUGUGGUAAGUUUUAAGUUCCCGCUCAGCACACACCCUUAAAGUUAUUUUUCAAAUUUAAGGUUUUUCGACUUUCCAGUCAUGCUGUCUACUUCACACAAUGCCUAAAGCUAAUUAGGCAUGGAUGCAUUUUUACUCUAAGUUAGUUAAGCGAAGGAUUUGUACCCUUUUUAAAUUGUUUAUUGAUGCUAGGGCUUUCUUAAACGCAACAUAAGAUUGGCAUGAAAUAGAGCACCUAAUCAGUCACAGAGAAUCCCUCUUUCUAUUAUCAGUGACAAUCGAACAUGCCUAAUCUUCAAAAAAGAGUAAUUUUUAUUCCAUUUUCGAGCAAUUUUUAAGGUCGAGGGUGAUCAAUGCUAUUUUUUCUAAAUAUUCUGGUCUGCAUUGGACUUGGUUUCUUUACGACCAAAAGCGUGUAUGCUGUAUGAAAGAUUUUCGUGCCUGUGGUCUCCAGUUGCAUAUCGUUAAUGCGACUUCUGACCUUUUGUGAGCUGAGAAUAUCAUGAUAUGUUAUGGAACAUGCAAUUUAUAGAAGUUGUGCGAGUCAGUGCCGAAAUUAGCAAGGCCCAUAAUCCUGUUUGCCCCUUCAGGGCCCACUUUAUUUCCUCUUUGCUUUGUUUAAGCUUAAUUAAAAAAUAGUGCUGAUCCGCUUCUGUCUUUUUAGAGCAAUUAGUUCAGUGCUUAGAAUAAUUAUUGUCAAAUAAUGCUCGCGAAAUUUUUUACCUGCAAACCUACAAGACAUUGUGUAAAAUAGUGAUGGGAAAAGAAACUUUUCCAUUAUCAUUACAUUAUCAUUGUAUUUUUACGGUAAUCAUUACAAAUUACGCUUGUCUCGGUCCGUGUUUUGGGUUAUUUGCUUGAAUUCAGAACGAUGCAUAUGAUGCAAAAGUUAGUAGGUACGGGAAAUGCUGGAGUCAGAUGAUUAUCUUUUCAGGGAAUGCUGGAGUACCAGAUCAUGAACCCAGACAUUUCAUUGUCGUAUAUGUUUGGAAUACUUGAAGACAAUGCUGCAGAUCUGGGAAUAAUCGACUACAGUCUGAGUCAGACCACACUUGAGCAAGUUUUCAUCAAUUUUGCCAAAUAUCAGCGUGAAGAAGCAGCAAAGAAGAAAAAAUUAUGUGCCUGUUGUUGCACAUGAUAAAGAUGUAUUCAUUUUCAAGUUUAGUUUUUAAUGUAUUGGUGAAAUUUAAAACUUUGAAGUUAAGCCUUUACAACUUAAAUAGGAUGUUGAUUUUGUUCUGAUCUUAUAUAUUUUCUUAUAUCUUUAAUCUUUAUUGAGUUUCUAUGUUUAUUUAUGGGCUUUUUGUUAAACACUGAAAACAAGUGACAUUUUUACUAGCUAACUUAUUUCUAAUUCCAUUUUCGAAUAUUGACAGCGUCUCUGGCUAUGUUCACAUUGCUCCGUAUUCGUUUUUAUCCGUUUUCAUAUCGAUCCGUUUUACCUGUUCACACUGCUUCGGAUACAUUGGAUAACGGCGUGAAAACGAUGAAGCAUUUACAAUGCUCCGCUCUGGAUAAAAAAUAAAACGCCACCAGCUGGUUUACAGACCUUGCGACUGCUGAUAAACUUUUCAAACAACUCACUGCCACUAAUAUUCCUCCAAGUAGUGUACUAACUUCGAGUGAAUCAGUCAUGUUAAGAGAAGUUGUUCAAAUUGGCGCGGUCUAAGCAUCUUGCUGUGUUGUUGUUGUUGUUGUUAGCGUUUUCAAAGGUAUCCGUUUUCGAAGGUCUCCAUUUUCAAAGUGCAUUUUCAAAUAUCUCCGUUUUCACAGCGGAGCAGCAUGAACGCAAGGUGAAAACGGAUACUUUUUUAUCCAUUUUCAUUGGAAUCCGGAGCAAUGUGAACGGGGCCUCUGUUUCAAUCCCCUUAGUUUUCAAACAGGUUUUUCUCCGGCAACCAAUCUAUCCCUGGGUUCGUUCUUGCAAGCGUUUUUGUUUAUUUAGAUCAUAACUGAUAAAGUUCUUUAAUGGAAGCUUUCAUGUUCGACUUAUAGUUCAAAAUGUUUAGAUGCCCUUGUCUGAACAAUGGUUGUGACGUUAUACAUGGAUAGGUUCCAAGUCUAGGAGGGGAGGUUCGCGUGAGAACGUAGAAAUCUACUGCAAGAAGACAAUCGUUUAAACAUGUAAUGAAAAUCAUAUUAUACAUAGAUCAAACCAAAUCUGAAAUACGUUACACAGACUUACAGAGUUCUAGAUAAUCUGUCUGAUGAAUGCACAAGCAUGAAAAUCUGAGUAACGACGAAAUAUUUUUCAAUUUUAAUCUAACGAAUCUAUCAUGCAAAAUAUAGUAAAUCAUUUCUUACGCAUUGCAUGUACUAUAUUAAGAGUGAUUUAGAGAUCAAUUAUUUAGACGAUUUUAUUUCUUUUAUUGAGGUAAAUUGUGAAAGAAUGAAGUCUAUUAAAGUAUCGAAACUGACAAUUUCUUUAUAUCUUGUGUCCGUGGCCUGUGGUCGAAUUAACUUCAGUCAAUAAUGGAAAGGAAAAUUGGAUAGGCUUUUCGAAUGAAAUUUGAUGUGAAUUGUCUAGGAAUGGAACCAGAAGCUAAUGGACAAUCCUCGUCGUACAAACAAGGUUCACUUGCUGUUUUAUAUCUCGAAACCUUUUGCCAGAGUAUCUAAUCUGUUAUGAUCCAAAUGAUGCGUGGAAUUUCGAUUGAGGUCAAACUAAGUUCACAAUUCUUUAGCAAACACGGCUUAUAGACUCGUUAAAAUAACACUAGGAGGCCCGGAUCAAAUCUCUGUCGACGGAAAAACCAUUUAAUGUCACCCAUUAUGUUGCUAUUGAGAUGGAUACUACGAGCAUCGCGUGAAGAGAAAGGUAGUGCAACGAAAACUAAACCAUUUAGGCAGCUUAAAUUCUUUUUUGGUGGUACACCACUAGAUGGAGUUUCAAGAUAAUUUCUGAACUACCUCAGCCUCAUAGUCAAGGUGUGCAUCAGAAACAUAGAGGACAUCUACAAAACCCAGGUGUCUGUCCUUUUAGACAUUAAUGUUUGUUAUGCCUUUCUUUUAUUGGCGAUAGGGUGGUUCCUUACAAAAAAGCGUGUACAGAAGAGGUACUCAGAUACUAAUGGCCUUAACUCAAACAAAAGGAUCCCCCUACAGGUGAAAUGGGAAAAAACAUCCCAGCAGAGACACUUCCCUCUAAAAUGUCUCAACAUCAUUAUCACUGCCUACAACAGAGCAGCCCUGUUAUAGAAAGUUACAAAUGCAAAGAGGUGUGCAUACCGUAUUUCCCAUUAAAAGCGCCCAAUCUUGAAAAGGCAUCCCCUUCCUUGCAAAAACACCCGUCUCUCAAAAAACCUUGAUGGGUGAAAAACAUAGAAUCGUCGGCUACAUUUUGUGCAUUAAAUACGGCUAAAUGGGAGUGGGUUUCAUCAAAAUCCAUCAAGUCAACAUUGGUGGAACUUGAAAAAAUAACGUGUAGCUUUUGAAAUAUUUAAAUGAUUCCAUCAAUCUGACCUUAAUUCCUAAUUUUAUGUUUUUAAUCCUCCAUCGCUCAGAAAUUCAAGGCCAUGAAGAAUAGUCAAAUAAUAGAAUUGUGAUUGUUACUUUACACUCAAUUUUGAUAGAAAACUGCCAACAGAAACCUUGGCAAGCCCCCCAAUAAUAGAAAACCAUCGGACUGAUCGUCAUAAAUCUUGAGAGACUCCUCGAAAAUCCUUAGUUUAAAAAUGAGAUAGAAAUGGUUCUUUCUUCGACGAUCAGGCACCUUUUUCCUGUUCAAUUGACAAAGAUUAUUGGGUGUUUUAUCUGCAGGGGCGGACGCAGAAAAAAUCAUGACCGUGGCACAAGAAUAGUGUUAGGUGACCACGCCCUCUGGUCUUUCGGAAACGCCCAGUCUGAGCAUACAGAGAUGGGUAUAGCUUUUAUAGCGAAAACAUAGUUACAUUUAGCGCAAAGCUGUCACCGCUCCUGUCGUUUUAUCAUUAAACAAUACUGGCUCUAUGUUUUCAACUUGCAAACAAAUAACGAUGCAAACUGAUGUAAGCCAGUCACUGGACGCACUUAAAUAAUAUACAUUUAAAAAUUUAUAAAUAAUGGCUAGUUCUUACAACUCACAGAUAAAAUUAUCUUUAUCUUUAGCCAGAUCAAAUUAUUGACAAAUUAAACUAGGCAUACUUUUGCGAAGCUUCGACAGCUCGUCCACGAAAAGUUCCUUCAAAGCUGCAUGGACUCGCGAUUUAAUAGAUUUUUCAACUAUUCUUUGAAUAUCCAUUGCCAAAGCCAAGGUAAUCUUUGCAAUAAACUCAAAUUCGAACUCAAUAAAAUUCUUGCGUGCUGAAUCGCCAGUUUCCUGCAGACCGAACACGUUUUGUUUGUUUACCCAGCAAUCACCGGAAUCACCUAAGCAAGUUCAUACUCGACAGCACAUUUUUUAAAUAUUUGUGCCACGGUGCCACUUCUCGGGUCUCAACAGAAGCAUACAGAGCCUCGACCGUGGCACAAGAACAAAAGCACAGCCAUUUGGUCUCAAAACAUAUUGUUUAAAAAUGUGCGCGCAUACUUCUAUUUAUAUCUAGUGUGGCACGAUUGUUAUUUGGUAGAGCCAAUUAUUUUUUGGUUAACAAAAGGCAAACAAUAAGCAAAUCCAACAUGGCGUACUACUUAAUUAACAGCGGAGAGGGGGCGUGGUAAAUAGACGCUGGAGCGAAGAGGAAGUGUUAGACAGCAAGGACCAUAUCGGGAUACUUAGAACAGUCCAUUAUUUUCCAAAAAUUUAAAUUUGGAAAUCUGACCGUGGCACGUGCCACCGGUGCCACCGUCUGAAUCCGCCCCUGUAUCUUAUGUUACCCUUAUGUUACAAUUUUGUUAUGUUACUUAAAUACCUAUGUACACUUUGUUUCUAACACGCGGUUUUUAGCCUUUGGUAUAUAAACUUCGAGUCCGUAAAAGGUGAAGACACUAAGCACUAACACGUUUACAUGGACAGAUGAUAUCAGUGUACCUUUCACAAUUCCGGCCUGUGCCGUACAGACUUUCCUUUCCACCACUGGCGUGCCCCUCCAGCGACCAGAGAAAAGGGGCCCCAAUGGCCCGUUGAAAACUAAAGUGCUGGUAAAAGGCAACUCGAAAUAGCUGCGCUCCAAAGAGGUGCAUACUUCAAUAUGAACGAGUAUGAAGACUUCUU
Non-coding RNA from Rhopilema esculentum, 8800 nucleotides. Lineage: Eukaryota; Metazoa; Cnidaria; Scyphozoa; Rhizostomeae; Rhizostomatidae. The record is from RefSeq and is a predicted model, not a curated record.